UACAGAGGUGGCAAGCGUUGUUCGGAAUUACUGGGCGUAAAGGGCUCGUAGGCGGCCAACUAAGUCAGACGUGAAAUCCCCAGGCUCAACCUGGGAACUGCGUCUGAUACUGGAUGGCUUGAAUCCGGGAGAGGGAUGCAGAAUUCCAGGUGUAGCGGUGAAAUGCGUAGAUAUCUGGAGGAAUACCGGUGGCGAAGGCGGCAUCCUGGACCGGCAUUGACGCUGAGGAGCGAAAGCUAGGGGAGCAAACGGG
This 253-nucleotide ribosomal RNA is filed under the name uncultured bacterium. Its description in RNAcentral is "partial 16S ribosomal RNA". It matches the Rfam family "Bacterial small subunit ribosomal RNA", at positions 524 to 776 of the family's 1533-position model. The record is from RNAcentral.